GACGAACGCUGGCGGCGUGCUUAACACAUGCAAGUCGAACGGAAAGGCCCUGCUGUUGUGGGGUGCUCGAGUGGCGAACGGGUGAGUAACACGUGAGUAACCUGCCCUUGACUUUGGGAUAACUUCAGGAAACUUGGGCUAAUACCGGAUAGGAGCUCCUGCUGCAUGGUGGGGGUUGGAAAGUUUCGGCGGUUGGGGUUGGACUCGCGGCUUAUCAGCUUGUUGGUGGGGUAGUGGCUUACCAAGGCUUGGACGGGUAGCCGGCCUGAGAGGGUGACCGGCCACAUUGGGACUGAGGGACGGCCCAGACUCCUACGGGAGGCAGCAGUGGGGAAUAUUGCACAAUGGGCGGAAGCCUGAUGCAGCAACGCCGCGUGCGGGAUGACGGCCUUCGGGUUGUAAACCGCUUUCGCCUGUGACGAAGCGUGAGUGACGGUAAUGGGUAAAGAAGCACCGGCUAACUACGUG
RNAcentral lists this ribosomal RNA (468 nucleotides) under uncultured bacterium. RNAcentral describes it as "partial 16S ribosomal RNA". It matches the Rfam family "Bacterial small subunit ribosomal RNA", at positions 28 to 507 of the family's 1533-position model. The record is from RNAcentral.